CCUACGGGAGGCAGCAGUGAGGAAUAUUGGUCAAUGGGCUUACGCCUGAACCAGCCAAGUCGCGUGAGGGAAGACUGCCCUAUGGGUUGUAAACCUCUUUUGUCAGGGAGCAACGCCGGCUACGUGUAGCCGGACUGAGAGUACCUGAAGAAAAAGCAUCGGCUAACUCCGUGCCAGCAGACGCGAUAAUACGGAGGAUGCGAGCGUUAUCCGGAGUUAUUGGGUUUAAAGGGUGCGUAGGCGGAAUGCCAAGUCAGCGGUAAAAUCGCGGGGCUCAACCUCGCUCCGCCGUUGAAACUGGCGUUCUUGAGUGGGCGAGAAGUAUGCGGAAUGCGUGGUGUAGCGGUGAAAUGCAUAGAUAUCACGCAGAACUCCGAUUGCGAAGGCAGCAUACCGGCGCCCAACUGACGCUGAAGCACGAAAGCGUGGGUAUCGAACAGGAUUAGAUACCCUGGUAGU
This 459-nucleotide ribosomal RNA is filed under the name uncultured bacterium. Its description in RNAcentral is "partial 16S ribosomal RNA". It matches the Rfam family "Bacterial small subunit ribosomal RNA", at positions 338 to 794 of the family's 1533-position model. The record is from RNAcentral.